CCACAUCUGCAACCGCACGUUUCGGGGUAAGAAGUUUUUCUGAAUAAGAAGCACCUCGAUUGGCGAGUCUGAGUAUUUUU
This is a regulatory RNA element of Lactobacillus acetotolerans, 80 nucleotides long. NCBI's taxonomy places the organism in Bacteria, Bacillati, Bacillota, Bacilli, Lactobacillales, Lactobacillaceae. The record is from Rfam.